UAGGGAAUCUUCCGCAAUGGACGCAAGUCUGACGAGCAACGCCGCGUGAACGAUGAAGGCCUUCGGGUCGUAAAGUUCUGUUGUUAGGGAAGAACAAGUAUUGUUCGAAUAGGGCAGUACCUUGACGGUACCUAACCAGAAAGCCACGGCUAACUACGUG
This 160-nucleotide ribosomal RNA is filed under the name uncultured bacterium. Its description in RNAcentral is "partial 16S rRNA". It matches the Rfam family "Bacterial small subunit ribosomal RNA", at positions 355 to 507 of the family's 1533-position model. The record is from RNAcentral.